GCCGGCGUAGCUCAACUGGUAGAGCAUACGACUUGUAAUCGUAAGGUUGCGGGUUCGAGUCCCACCGCCGGCUCCA
Molecule: transfer RNA, 76 nt
Filed under: Desulfotomaculum copahuensis
Lineage: Bacteria; Bacillati; Bacillota; Clostridia; Eubacteriales; Desulfotomaculaceae
Description: tRNA-Thr
Rfam family: tRNA
About the family: Transfer RNA (tRNA) molecules are approximately 80 nucleotides in length.
Source: RNAcentral